AAAGUGGCGACUCCUCACUUUUCCACUUCAGUGAAAAUCGUCUAGCGACUGUAAAACCCUUGCGACAAUUAUGAUUUCAUUAAUUAAUUAAUUGACCUCUCCUAUAGUUAUAUUUUCUUUAUAUUCAGUUUACAAAUUUUCUCAUCAUUUAAGUAUAAAAAAAAUUCCUUUUUUUAUAUGUACUUGUAAACUUCUCUUAUAUAAAUAUAAUUUCAAUUUAAAUUAGGAUUUAUAAAUUUAAAUUUUUUUUAUUAAUUUCUCUUUUAUAAUAUGAUAUUACCAUAUUUUCAUUGACAAUUAUAUAUUAUGUGAGCG
Molecule: unclassified non-coding RNA, 315 nt
Filed under: Hevea brasiliensis (rubber tree)
Lineage: Eukaryota; Viridiplantae; Streptophyta; Magnoliopsida; Malpighiales; Euphorbiaceae
Source: RNAcentral